UUCCAAAUAAAACUCCUAGCCUUUGCGUCUAAGUUUGAAUGACUGAAUAUGAUGCACUGGCCGUGGCCUAGAGCCACCAGGGUGCAAGAUAGAAAUGUCUGCAUCUCCCGUACUUGGAAAGGUGUGAUUAUGCAGCAACU
Providencia rettgeri Dmel1 is the source of this 140-nucleotide non-coding RNA. The record is from Rfam. NCBI's taxonomy places the organism in Bacteria, Pseudomonadati, Pseudomonadota, Gammaproteobacteria, Enterobacterales, Morganellaceae.